CGGAGGGGCUAGCGUUGUUCGGAAUUACUGGGCGUAAAGCGCACGUAGGCGGACCUGCAAGUUGGGGGUGGAAAUCCCGGGGCUCAACCCCGGAACUGCCUUCAAAACUGCUGGUCUGGAGGUCGAGAGAGGUGAGUGGAAUUCCGAGUGUAGAGGUGAAAUUCGUAGAUAUUCGGAGGAACACCAGUGGCGAAGGCGGCUCACUGGCUCGAUACUGACGCUGAGGUGCGAAAGCGUGGGGAGCAAACAGGAUU
RNAcentral lists this ribosomal RNA (254 nucleotides) under uncultured bacterium. RNAcentral describes it as "partial 16S ribosomal RNA". It matches the Rfam family "Bacterial small subunit ribosomal RNA", at positions 527 to 779 of the family's 1533-position model. The record is from RNAcentral.